UUGGAGGGCAAGUCUGGUGCCAGCAGCCGCGGUAAUUCCAGCUCCAAUAGCGUAUAUUAAAGUUGUUGCAGUUAAAAAGCUCGUAGUUGAAUUUCGGGGUCAGUAGGUUGGUCGUGCCACCGGUACGUACUGGUCUCACUGAUUCCUCCUUCCUGAUGAGCUGUAAUGCCAUUAAUUUGGUGUUGCAGGGAAUCUGGACUGUUACUUUGAAAAAAUUAGAGUGUUUAAAGCAGGCUCGCGCUUGAAUACAUUAGCAUGGAAUAAUGAAAUAGGACGUUUGAUUCUAUUUUGUUGGUUUCUAGGAUCGACGUAAUGAUUAAUAGGGAUAGUUGGGGGCAUUAGUAUUCAAUUGUCAGAGGUGAAAUUCUUGGAUUUAUUGAAGACUAACUACUGCGAAAGCAUUUGCCAAGGAUGUUUUCAUUAAUCAAGAACGAAAGUUAGGGGAUCGAAGACGAUCAGAUACCGUCGUAGUCUUAACCAUAAACUAUGCCGACUAGGGAUCGGAUGAUGUUAAUUUUUUAAUGACUCAUUCGGCGCCUUACGGGAAAC
Molecule: ribosomal RNA, 549 nt
Filed under: uncultured Glomus
Lineage: Eukaryota; Fungi; Glomeromycota; Glomeromycetes; Glomerales; Glomeraceae
Description: SSU rRNA
Rfam family: Eukaryotic small subunit ribosomal RNA
Source: RNAcentral